UGGGGAAUUUUGGACAAUGGGGGAAACCCUGAUCAAGCCAUCCCGCGUGUGCGAUGAAGGCCUUCGGGUUGUAAAGCACUUUUGGCAGGAAAGAAAAGUCAUGGGUUAAUACCCCGUGAAACUGACGGUACCUGCAGAAUAAGAACCGGCUAACUACGUGCCAGCAGCCGCGGUAAUACGUAGGGUGCAAGCGUUAAUCGGAAUUACUGGGCGUAAAGCGUGCGCAGGCGGUUCGGAAAGCAAGAUGUGAAAUCCCAGAGCUCAACGUUGGAACUGCAUUUUUAACUACCGGGCUAGAGUGGGGCAGAGGGGGGUGGAAUUCCGCGUGUAGCAGUGAAAUGCGUAGAUAUGCGGAGGAACACCGAUGGCGAAGGCAGCCUCCUGGGAUAACACUGACGCUCAUGCACGAAAGCGUGGGGAGCAAACAGG
RNAcentral lists this ribosomal RNA (429 nucleotides) under Acidobacteriota bacterium. RNAcentral's name for it is "Acidobacteria bacterium partial 16S ribosomal RNA". It matches the Rfam family "Bacterial small subunit ribosomal RNA", at positions 355 to 776 of the family's 1533-position model. The record is from RNAcentral. Lineage: Bacteria; Pseudomonadati; Acidobacteriota.